CCUACGGGGGGCAGCAGUGGGGAAUAUUGGACAAUGGGGGCAACCCUGAUCCAGCCAUGCCGCGUGUGUGAAGAAGGCCCUCGGGUUGUAAAGCACUUUCAGUGAGGAAGAACGCCUGGUGGUUAAUACCCAUCAGGAAAGACAUCACUCACAGAAGAAGCACCGGCUAACUCCGUGCCAGCAGCCGCGGUAAUACGGAGGGUGCGAGCGUUAAUCGGAAUUACUGGGCGUAAAGCGCGCGUAGGUGGCUUGAUAAGCCGGUUGUGAAAGCCCCGGGCUCAACCUGGGAACGGCAUCCGGAACUGUCAAGCUAGAGUGCAGGAGAGGAAGGUAGAAUUCUCGGUGUAGCGGUGAAAUGCGUAGAGAUCGGGAGGAAUACCAGUGGCGAAGGCGGCCUUCUGGACUGACACUGACACUGAGGUGCGAAAGCGUGGGUAGCAAACAGGAUUAGAUACCCUAGUAGUC
Molecule: ribosomal RNA, 465 nt
Filed under: Vreelandella stevensii
Lineage: Bacteria; Pseudomonadati; Pseudomonadota; Gammaproteobacteria; Oceanospirillales; Halomonadaceae
Description: partial 16S ribosomal RNA
Rfam family: Bacterial small subunit ribosomal RNA
Source: RNAcentral